UACUUUAAUGAUGAUUGCCAUUACCGCCCCAGUCUGACAUGUUUCCUGACUGAUUGGUAAUUCUGAUGCC
Molecule: small nucleolar RNA, 70 nt
Organism: Anthonomus grandis grandis
Lineage: Eukaryota; Metazoa; Arthropoda; Insecta; Coleoptera; Curculionidae
Source: RefSeq, a predicted model, not a curated record